AUGUUCGCCCCUUUUGGCAGUUCUGGUUAUGUGAUUUGUGUCAGUGGCCCACUCUUUUACCCCAUCCAUAGACUUCCUGCUUUACUGGACACUUUUGUUAGGGGCUAUGGGUUUACUUGAAAGAUGAAAGCGUGAGAUUACCAUGGGGUGUGUGUUUUCUCAAAGCUGCAUCCUAUGAGUUUCCCUCCAGCACCAUCUCCAUCAGAUACAUGACGCUUAG
This is a non-coding RNA of Pelobates cultripes (western spadefoot toad), 220 nucleotides long. The record is from the annotation of a GenBank genome assembly. Lineage: Eukaryota; Metazoa; Chordata; Amphibia; Anura; Pelobatidae.